UAACCUACCCUUAGGGACGUGGAUACCCCCGAGAAAUUGGGGUUAAUCCGCGAUAGGUGUAAUGUCCUGGAAUGGUAUUACGCUAAAGGUGUAUCAUACAUGUUUGAUAUACGCCUAAGGAUGGGGCUGCGGCCGAUCAGGCUGUUGGUGAGGUAAUGGCUCACCAAACCUUUGACCGGUACGGGCCAUGAGAGUGGUAGCCCGGAGAUGGACACUGAGACAAGGGUCCAGGCCCUAAGGGGCGCAGCAACCGCGAAACCUCCACAAUGCACUCACGUGCGAUGGGGCUAUCUCGAGUGCCACCUGAUGAAGGUGGCUUUUCCUAGGUCUUCAAAGCCUUGGGAAUAAGAGGGGGGCAAGACUGGUGUCAGCCGCCGCGGUAACACCAGCCCCUCGAGUGGUGGGGAUGAUUAUUUGGCCUAAAGCGUCCGUAGCCGGCCGAGCAAGUCUUCCGUUAAAUCCAGCGUCUCAAGCGUUGGACUGCGGGAGAUACUACACGGCUAGAGAGUGGGAGAGGUCAGCGGUAUUCUGGGGGUAGGGGCGAAAUCCUUUGAUCCCCGGAGGACCACCAGUGGCGAAGGCUGCUGACUAGAACACGUCUGACGGUCAGGGACGAAAGCUGGGGUAGCGAACCGGAUUAGAUACCCGGGUAGUCCCAGCCGUAAACGAUGCAUGCUAGGUGUUGGGUUGGCCACGAGCCACCCCAGUGCCGCAGGGAAGCCGUUAAGCAUGCCGCCUGGGAAGUACGAUCGCAAGAUUGAAACUUAAAGGAAUUGGCGGGGGAGCACCACCAGGCGUGAAGCCUGCGGUUUAAUUGGAUUCAACGCCGGG
RNAcentral lists this ribosomal RNA (831 nucleotides) under uncultured archaeon. RNAcentral describes it as "bacterial SSU rRNA". It matches the Rfam family "Archaeal small subunit ribosomal RNA", at positions 105 to 922 of the family's 1478-position model. The record is from RNAcentral.